RNAcentral lists this long non-coding RNA (368 nucleotides) under Sarcophilus harrisii (Tasmanian devil). Its description in RNAcentral is "lncRNA (ENSSHAG00000024311.1)". The record is from RNAcentral. Lineage: Eukaryota; Metazoa; Chordata; Mammalia; Dasyuromorphia; Dasyuridae.
GCGGGGGUAGCGGCUGCGGGCCGGGCGGCUUCCCGGGGCGUGGCGGAGCGGGCGCUGUUCACAGCCCGGUGCUCCUCCCGGUGCCUCGCCCUGCACAUCACCCACUUCGGACCGGCCUUCCCAACUCUGCAGAACAAUGAGAUUCUGACCUGGUGCAGUAACAACCGAAGAUGUUCUCAGCAAGGAAUGUUCUUAAUAAUGAGGAUCCUGUGUUCGCGUUGCCGCUUUGAUUAAUAGCGUGGGAAGACGGCAGCACUUCUCAGCACCCAUGUGUCUUGCCGGGAUGUUUGCAAGAGGCGUGCAAACACAUCAAGGAGAGCAGAGACCCUCAAGUAUGCUGUUGACAUUUCAAAGCUGAGAGUUUCGAG